UUCGAUUCUGGCUCAGGAUGAACGCUGGCGGCGUGCUUAACACAUGCAAGUCGAACGCUGAAGCUCCCAGCUUGCUGGGGGUGGAUGAGUGGCGAACGGGUGAGUAUCACGUGAGUAACCUGCCCUUGACUCUGGGAUAAGCCCGGGAAACUGGGUCUAAUACUGGAUAGGACUGGCCAUCGCAUGGUGGUUGGUUGAAAGCUUUUUGCGGUUUUGGAUGGACUCGCGGCCUAUCAGCUUGUUGGUGGGGUAAUGGCCUACCAAGGCUUUGACGGGUAGCCGGCCUGAGAGGGUGACCGGCCACACUGGGACUGAGACACGGCCCAGACUCCUACGGGAGGCAGCAGUGGGGGAUAUUGCACAAUGGGCGCAAGCCUGAUGCAGCGACGCCGCGUGAGGGAUGACGGCCUUCGGGUUGUAAACCUCUUUCAGCUGGGAAGAAGCCUUUCGGGGUGACGGUACCUUCAGAAGAAGCACCGGCUAACUACGUGCCAGCCGCAGC
RNAcentral lists this ribosomal RNA (502 nucleotides) under uncultured bacterium. RNAcentral describes it as "bacterial SSU rRNA". It matches the Rfam family "Bacterial small subunit ribosomal RNA", at positions 12 to 518 of the family's 1533-position model. The record is from RNAcentral.